UCCCUGGUGGCGGAUGGUAAAGCGUCUGCCUACAAUGCAGGAGACCCAGGUUCAAUCCCUGGGUCGGGAA
This 70-nucleotide transfer RNA is filed under the name Bos taurus (domestic cattle). It matches the Rfam family "tRNA". Rfam says of the family: Transfer RNA (tRNA) molecules are approximately 80 nucleotides in length. The record is from Rfam by way of RNAcentral. Lineage: Eukaryota; Metazoa; Chordata; Mammalia; Artiodactyla; Bovidae.